RNAcentral lists this ribosomal RNA (492 nucleotides) under uncultured bacterium. RNAcentral describes it as "partial 16S ribosomal RNA". It matches the Rfam family "Bacterial small subunit ribosomal RNA", at positions 29 to 507 of the family's 1533-position model. The record is from RNAcentral.
AGUGAACGCUGGCGGUAGGCCUAACACAUGCAAGUCGAACGGCAGCACAGUAAGAGCUUGCUCUUACGGGUGGCGGGUGGCGGACGAGUGAGGAGUACAUCGUAAUCUACUUUUUCGUGGGGGUUAACGUAGGGAAACUUACGCUAAUACCGCAUACGACCUACGGGUGAAAGCAGGGGAUAUUUGGACCUUGCGCGAUUGGAUGAGCCGAUGUGGGAUUAGCUAGUUGGCGGGGUAAAGGCCCACCCAGGCGACGAUCCGUAGCUGGUCUGAGAGGAUGGUCAGCGACACUGGAACUGAGACACGGUCCAGAGUCCUACGGGAGGCAGCAGUGGGGAAUAUUGGACAAUGGGCGCAAGCCUUAUCCAGCCAUACCGCGUGGGUGAAGAAGGCCUUCGGGUUGUAAAGCCCUUUUGUUGGGAAAGAAAAGCAGCAGGUUAAUACCCCGCUGUUCUGACGGUACCCAAAGAAUAAGCACCGGCUAACUUCGUG